This 184-nucleotide ribosomal RNA is filed under the name Paraclostridium benzoelyticum. Its description in RNAcentral is "partial 23S ribosomal RNA". It matches the Rfam family "Bacterial large subunit ribosomal RNA", at positions 2739 to 2925 of the family's 2925-position model. Lineage: Bacteria; Bacillati; Bacillota; Clostridia; Peptostreptococcales; Peptostreptococcaceae. The record is from RNAcentral.
GGCUGGGUAGCUAUGUACGGAAUGGAUAAGCGCUGAAAGCAUCUAAGCGCGAAGCCAACUUCAAGAUAAGAUUUCCCACCGUAAGGGUAAGAUCCCAGGAAGACUACCUGGUUGAUAGGUCGGAGGUGUAAGUGCAGCAAUGUAUGUAGCUUACCGAUACUAAUAGAUCGAGGACUUGACCAAG